RNAcentral lists this ribosomal RNA (440 nucleotides) under uncultured bacterium. RNAcentral describes it as "partial 16S ribosomal RNA". It matches the Rfam family "Bacterial small subunit ribosomal RNA", at positions 338 to 795 of the family's 1533-position model. The record is from RNAcentral.
CCUACGGGAGACAGCAGUGGGGAAUAUUGCACAAUGGGGGGAACCCUGAUGCAGCAACGCCGCGUGGGUGAAGAAGUACUCCGGUAUGUAAAGCCCUGUCAGCAGGGAAGAAAAUGACGGCACCUGACCAAGAAUCCACGGCUAACUACGUGCCAGCAGCCGAGGCAAUACGUCGGGGGCAAGCGUUAUCCGGAUUUUCUGGGUGUAAAGGGGGCGUAGACGGGAAGGCAAGUCGGGAGUGAAAGCCCGUGGCCCAACCACGAGACUGCUUUGGAAACUGGGUUGCUGGAGUGCAGGAGGGGUAAGCGGAAUUCCUGGUGUAGCGGUGAAAUGCGUAGAUAUUAGGAGGAACACCGGUGGCGAAGGCGGCUUACUGGACUGUAACUGACGUUGAGGCUCGAAGGCGUGGGGAGCAAACAGGAUUAGAUACCCUGGUAGUC